AACGAACGCUGGCGGCAGGCCUAAAACAUGCAAGUCGAACGAACCGCAAGGUUAGUGGCGCACGGGUGAGUAACACGUGGGAAUGUGCCUCUGGGUACGGAACAACGUCGGGAAACUGACGCUAAUACCGUAUAAUGUCUACGGACCAAAGAUUUAUCGCCCAGAGAUCAGCCCGCGUCUGAUUAGCUAGUUGGUGAGGUAACGGCUCACCAAGGCGACGAUCAGUAGCUGGUCUGAGAGGAUGAUCAGCCACACUGGAACUGAGAUACGGCCCAGACUCCUACGGGAGGCAGCAGUAAGGAAUCUUCCACAAUGGACGAAAGUCUGAUGGAGCAACGCCGCGUGCAGGAUGACGGCCUUCGGGUUGUAAACUGCUUUUGUACGGGAAGAUUAUGACGGUACCGUGCGAAUAAGGACCGGCUAACUACGUGCCAGCCGCCGCAGUAA
RNAcentral lists this ribosomal RNA (447 nucleotides) under uncultured bacterium. RNAcentral's name for it is "partial 16S ribosomal RNA". It matches the Rfam family "Bacterial small subunit ribosomal RNA", at positions 29 to 523 of the family's 1533-position model. The record is from RNAcentral.